CGCCGCGGCGCGCUCCUGAUGAGUGCUGUGUCCAGGAUGACCAUGAAUUCAAGCUCUGGAGCUUGAGAUGAACUGGUCCGACUUCCAGAAGAGAAGGAAAAGCCAGUGCAGUUACCUGACAGUGAGUAAACCCGAUGUUUCUGGUGGUUUCGUCAGAUCUGCCAUCACCUGCCAGCCUGACCUGCUUUGAUCCCGCAGACUGUCCCUGUCCGCUUAUGAACAAAAGGACAGGCUAUUGCACAGCAGCCCAUGGUUUGGUACACAGUUGCUGCAGGUACUUAAAAUGGCUGCCUGAACUUAAACUGGGAGGGUAGCCAUUAGNAGAUAGAAACCUACCUCCUAUAUUUCUUAGGAGUCUUGUGACUUAGAAACCCUGUUCUUCAUUCCUCCCUAAAUGGCCAACCACCGUGGGCAAGGGUUCACCUGCCACUCAUGAUGCCAGCACUCACAGAACAGGAGCAGGGCAGGGAUGCUGGGUGGAGCUAACUGGGUUACCGAAUGACACCUGGAGAAGCAGGCUAAUGGCCUUACACUAUACAGAGGAUACAGAUGUCUCCAUAUCCUUAUUACUGAACCACAAGUGAAACCCUGAAAGCCCCUGGAAUAUGCAGUGCGCCAGUGUAAGGUACAAGUUCCAGAUUACACAAGCAGAGAGUAGUGGCAUCGCACUGAAUGCAAGAAACUGAAGUUCCAGGCCUCAGAAUUAGUAAUGUGUGCUCGAGAGUGACCAGUCCUCAGGACAGAUGUAGGACGUUUGGAAGCAGUGAGAUAUAAGUAGAAGUGUUUUGUAAGUGUACAUAGAUGCUGAAGAAAGGGAAGACAUUCAGUAUAGAUAGUUAAUAGAAAAAUAUUCCCUGGCGGUGGUGGCGCAUGCCUUUAAU
Non-coding RNA from Mus caroli (Ryukyu mouse), 881 nucleotides. NCBI's taxonomy places the organism in Eukaryota, Metazoa, Chordata, Mammalia, Rodentia, Muridae. The record is from RefSeq and is a predicted model, not a curated record.